This 590-nucleotide long non-coding RNA is filed under the name Salmo salar (Atlantic salmon). Its description in RNAcentral is "lncRNA (ENSSSAG00000103533.1)". The record is from RNAcentral. Lineage: Eukaryota; Metazoa; Chordata; Actinopteri; Salmoniformes; Salmonidae.
CCCAGACCCAGCCAGCUGUCAAUCACUCUGCUGCCUUCCUCUUCCCUGCUGCAGAUGACUCCCACCAAGGGAACUACAGAUGUGUUUAUGACAAUUAUGUUUUCUCUCAUAACUUCUCCUCUGAGAGUGAGCUCCUCUCCCUCACCAUCACAGCCUCUCCUCUGACAGCCUUCAUCAUCAGACACGUUGUAGUGCUGCUGAUCCUACUGACAGCCAUCACCACCUCCUACCUGUACUACAAGCCCACCAGGAGGCAGAAGACAGUGAACAGGGUGAGCAGCAUGGAUCUUUAUGUCAAUGCCAUGGAGAUGGUCUCUCUGAGCUCCAGAGCUGAAGCUGGACCGGGAGAGGAGAGAGCAGCCCAGGGGACGGAGUAGGAGUAGAAUGAAGCUGACCCUACAUGCUGAUCUUAGGUCAGUUUUGUGUUUUAAAUGGAUGGUCAGCAGUGGACUGGUGUUUAAAAUGUGGUGACAAACCUGAAGUGGUUGUAAUUUUAAUAACAAGUUCAGAAUUAGUUUAUCUUUCUAGAACCUUGGAAGAAAUUUAAAAGGAGUGACUGCAACAUGGUAACGUGGGGUUUUUGAUUAUUU